UACGUAGGGUGCGAGCGUUAAUCGGAAUUACUGGGCGUAAAGCGUGCGCAGGCGGUUUUGUAAGCCCGGUGUGAAAUCCCCGGGCUUAACCUGGGAAUGGCAUUUGGGACUGCAAGGCUGGAGUGUGGCAGAGGAGACUGGAAUUCCUGGUGUAGCAGUGAAAUGCGUAGAUAUCAGGAGGAAUACCGAUGGCGAAGGCAGGUCUCUGGGCUGACACUGACGCUCAUGCACGAAAGCGUGGGGAGCAAACAGG
This 253-nucleotide ribosomal RNA is filed under the name uncultured bacterium. RNAcentral's name for it is "partial 16S ribosomal RNA". It matches the Rfam family "Bacterial small subunit ribosomal RNA", at positions 524 to 776 of the family's 1533-position model. The record is from RNAcentral.